CCUACGGGAGGCAGCAGUGAGGAAUAUUGGUCAAUGGACGCAAGUCUGAACCAGCCAUGCCGCGUGCAGGAAGACGGCUCUAUGAGUUGUAAACUGCUUUUGUACGAGGGUAAACGCAGAUACGCGUAUCUGUCUGAAAGUAUCGUACGAUUAAGGAUCGGCUAACUCCGGGCCAGCAGCCGCGGUAAUACGGAGGAUUCAAGCGUUAUCCGGAUUUAUUGGGGUUAAAGGGUGCGUAGGCGGUCGGAUAAGUUAGAGGUGAAAGCCCGAGGCUCAACUUCGGAAUUGCCACUAAGACUGUUCGGCUAGAGAGUAGUAGCGGUAGGCGGAAUGUAUGGUGUAGCGGUGAAAUGCUUAGAGAUCAGACAGAACACCGAUUGCGAAGGCAGCUUACCAAGCUACUUCUGACGUUGAGGCACGAAAGUGUGGGGAGCAAACAGGAUUAGAUACCCCGGUAGUC
Molecule: ribosomal RNA, 460 nt
Filed under: uncultured bacterium
Lineage: Bacteria
Description: partial 16S ribosomal RNA
Rfam family: Bacterial small subunit ribosomal RNA
Source: RNAcentral